RNAcentral lists this long non-coding RNA (265 nucleotides) under Capra hircus (goat). RNAcentral's name for it is "lncRNA (ENSCHIG00000007013.1)". Lineage: Eukaryota; Metazoa; Chordata; Mammalia; Artiodactyla; Bovidae. The record is from RNAcentral.
AGAACAUCAACAUUCAUUUGAUUCUCUUCAGUGAUCACAGGCAGGAGAGUCUCCCAGAAGCUGAAAUCCUCAGAAAGAACUGCAGCUGGUACUUAGAGUCUUCCAGCCCACAGUGGAAUCUCCCCACCACCUGUCUCCCUUGUUUCUCCCACUCUGUGCACCGUCCCUCUACUUGGAGUCUCCACCGUGAGUAUGCUGCUUAAAUAGAUAGAACUAGUAUCUAUGUGUGGGCAUUGCUGGUAGAAUUUCUCCUAUAACCUAAGAA